This 157-nucleotide ribosomal RNA is filed under the name Glomus sp. Its description in RNAcentral is "partial large subunit ribosomal RNA". Lineage: Eukaryota; Fungi; Glomeromycota; Glomeromycetes; Glomerales; Glomeraceae. The record is from RNAcentral.
CAUAUUUGUAUCCCUUGGGUGUACUUUCCCGGUGGUUGGUUAACAUCAAUUUCGGUCAUCAUAAAAUGAUGGGAGGAAUGUAGCUUCGAUCUCGGUUGAAGUGUUAUAGCCUCUGGUAGAUGUGAUGAUCGGGAUUGAGGAUUGCAACGAAUACCUU